Molecule: ribosomal RNA, 301 nt
Filed under: uncultured bacterium
Lineage: Bacteria
Description: partial 16S ribosomal RNA
Rfam family: Bacterial small subunit ribosomal RNA
Source: RNAcentral
CAGUAGCCGCGGGAAUACGGAGGGGGCUAGCGUUGUUCGGAAUUACUGGGCGUAAAGCGUACGUAGGCGGCUUUGUAAGUUAGAGGUGAAAGCCUGGUGCUCAACACCAGAACUGCCUUUAAGACUGCAUCGCUUGAACGUCGGAGAGGUGAGUGGAAUUCCGAGUGUAGAGGUGAAACUCGUAGAUAUUCGGAAGAACACCAGUGGCGAAGGCGGCUCACUGGACGACUGUUGACGCUGAGGUACGAAAGCGUGGGGAGCAAACAGGAUUAGAUACCCGGGUAGUCCCUGUCUCUUAUAC